CCUGAGCAACAAUGGUUUUAUAUGGGUGUUCAAAGAAUAUUGUGCCAAAUGGCCCCUCGGUAGAAAAACAAAUAAAGAAAACCAUAAAAUAAACUGUAUGCAAAUUUUACACUUAUUUUCCUACACUUAAUCUAUGACAUUAUACCCCUAUGAAAUUCCAUUAUUACCAAAAAUAAGAUCCUAUGCAAGAUAGAAAACAAAAUUUUGGUAGGGGUACACUCUUAACUUCCAAUUUUCUUUAUUUUAGUUCUGCCCCCUCACUUUAUCAAACGAUCAAAUUAUAUAUAAGAAUAGGCAUAUAAGUACAUAUUCAUCUUCAACUACAUUGUACUAGCUAGUUAUUGUAUUUUGUACCUCAAGGUGCUCAAAUCAAAAACAUUCAAAUAUUUAAUUGGUCUUCCACAUUAUAAACGAUUGUUGUUUACCAGGCGUGAACUCGUGUUACGUUUUAUAACCUUUCUCACUUAAUCGAGGAAUACACACACCUCACAGCCUUAUUAGCAUAAUCGGAACCUUUCUGGUUUUUAUAUUCACGAAAGAAUGGAAAAACCCGAGAAAGUCAAAACUUCGUAUAUCUCGGGAUUUUAACGAGACCAGUCUAAUACUCGUGAAAAUCGAGAGAGGAGUUUAAAUGGAAAAAGUAAGUAAAAGUUUUUGUUUCUUAUAUUGGCAAGCUUUUAAAUUAUUUAAAGUUGCAGAACAAUUGUUUAUUAAUGUGAAGUCGAAGUUUGGGGUGAUUAGCCUUAUCUCGUUAAAUUUUGUUCAGCAUGAAACAGUCUGAACAGCAAUCCUCGAUUUUGUCAACAAUCUAAAACGUGCUAAGGAGUAGUCAUUCGUCGAUUUUCCUGCGGCUUCCAGAUGAUCUGAAGAUCGGGAAUAUAGAAAAUAUUGUCAAUUUGAUAUUGCUAAUGACCCAGUCAUGUCUGCUGAAGCCCAGACGUUUCCAGACCAUGACAUUAAUGAAUAGUUCUUGAAUGGAAUGCAUGAGGAUUAGAAUGGAACCUUAUUCUGCCUUUUUACCAACUUGGAAUUUAGCCUUACUAUUUUAUACAAGUUUUUUUAAAGGGACUUGGACACGAUUUAAGAUCAAAAUUUUGUUUUCAAUUUCUUUAUGCAUAAAAUGAUUUACUUGCACAUUUUGAAUAAUUGACCAUAAUUUGAAUGUUAGAAGUCAAGUUAUAAGAACUAUACAGGGGUAAUAAUUUAUUGUUAUGUAAACAAAGCUCGAGUCUUAUGUUUGUUUACAAAUAAUAUAAAGUAUGAAAUUACCACUUCUUUGAGAAAAUGAUUCAUAGAAAAGAAGGUAAACUGAUUCGAUGUGAUCAUAAAUGAUAUUAUUAAUAGAAAAAAGCAACAUUUGAAUGAAACUUACACCAAUAAAACACAUGAUAAUGUAAAUAAUAACAAGACUCACGCUUUGUUUACAAAACAAAGAAUUUUUAAUUCUUUAUCUCUCUUUUAACUCAGUAUUUGACUUUCAAAUUUUGACAAAGCAUUAAAAAUACCCAUAUCAACCAUUCUAAAUAUUGAAAAUGGAAAUAUAAAAUUUUGAAUUUUAAGCUCAAAUCGUGUCUAAGUCCCUUUAAUAUACUCUUUUGUAUACAAACAGAACAAAAAUACUUAGUUACAAUGGGAAAUGGACAUAAUAUAUAUAAGAGUGUCUGAUAAAAGUAUAGGUCUUGUUCAUGAACAGAAGAAAUUGACAGAAAAAUAUUCAGUUUUAGCCAUGAAAUACAGAUAUUAAUAUUUUUUAAGAAUAUUAUUUAAUCUAAAUAAGUUAUGAAAGGUCUUUUUCCUUUAUUCCAAUGUUUGGAAACAAAUCCAAUAUAUAAUUAAAAUUGCUGUACAGUAUAUCCUAUUGAUUCCUUUAAUAUAUCACUUUAGUUUCUUGAACAGCAUGUUUAUUACUUUUUUUUUGAUAAAAAGAUUUAUACAAGGUCAUUAAUUUAUUUGCAUUAUAUUCAACUAGACACAAAUAGGCCUUCUGCAACCUUUUCAUUGUUUAAAUGGUAUGGAGUUUUAAUUACCUUUCAAAUGUACAUUAAUCCUAUUCAUCUAGUGCAUCACUUUAUUAAUGUUGAACUUCGUGUCUAUUAGUAUUAUGAUUUUUUUUAGUAUGAUAUAUGCAAUUUCAUUAAUUUAUUUUUCAUUUUAAGAAAAUUCAUUUUAAAAAAGAUCUCUUAGAACCUGUGUAUUUUUUUUCAGUUUACAUAACAUAGUGUAUUCAUUGAAUGUAGUUGUGUAGAUUUGUACAUGUACCUACAAGCAAUCACCAGGUACAUGUACCAGCCUACUAUAUUUGAUAAAUAAAUGUACUUCUUUCAUGCCUUUUUCAUGCCUUUUACUCAUUGUUAUAUGUAUUAUUUAUAAUUAAAAUACUUUGAAAACUUUU
Long non-coding RNA from Magallana angulata, 2392 nucleotides. RefSeq lists it as uncharacterized. NCBI's taxonomy places the organism in Eukaryota, Metazoa, Mollusca, Bivalvia, Ostreida, Ostreidae. The transcript has 3 exons. The record is from RefSeq and is a predicted model, not a curated record.